RNAcentral lists this transfer RNA (72 nucleotides) under Camelus bactrianus (Bactrian camel). It matches the Rfam family "tRNA". Rfam says of the family: Transfer RNA (tRNA) molecules are approximately 80 nucleotides in length. Their secondary structure includes four short double-helical elements and three loops (D, anti-codon, and T loops). RNAcentral also lists the same sequence under 2 other names. Lineage: Eukaryota; Metazoa; Chordata; Mammalia; Artiodactyla; Camelidae. The record is from Rfam by way of RNAcentral.
GGGUAUAUAGCUCAGUGGUAGAGCCCAUGCUUAGCACACAUGAGGUCCUGGGUUCAGUACCUGGUACCUCCG